CAUCUUCCCUGGUGCUAGACUUUCAUCCUGAUCAGUCUCAUAUCCUCUCGUGGCUCCCUUACUACCCAUAUGCUGUUGAUUUCCAAAACUGUCUUUGGCCUGAGUUCACUUCAUUCAUGCCAUCAACCCGCUAGACAUUGCUACUCAUCUGGUCGCCCAAGACAGAAACCCUCAUUUUGUUUGUUUUUCCUGUCUUUUAAUUAUCGUUCUCCCUCCCACCCAGCAAGUUGGUUACCUCAUUUUAUCAGUUUCAUCUCUGACAUGCCUUUCAAAUGUAUUUCCUUAUCUCUAUUCCACUCACCACCAUAACUUAGUUUAGGCCUCGGUUUCUCCAGCCUUGACUGUUGUUCAUAACUGAGCUAAUAUCCCCUUUUAGCUAUGCUGUCAUCUCCCUCUUAAAAAAGAUCUCCAGAAAUAACUAAAAUGGAAGCUUUAUGAGGAGAGGAGUUUUGUCUCUCUGUUCCCUACUGCACUUGCACAUGCAGUAAUAAACCCCCAUAAGAAAAAACAACAACAACAACAACAACAACAAAAACCCCACACAAUCCAAAUCCUUUAAUAUGGCAUUCACUGUAUUUUCACUAUCUGUCCCAACUUACAGUCUCCUCUCUCCUACCUCUCCUCUCCCUGCCACUCCCCCUUACCUGAUUAUGUACUUCAGUUCUGCUUGUAUUUCAGUCCUUGUGUUCUCAGUCCCCUCCAUCUUUGCUUUUCUGUUUCUUUGGUCCGGACUGACUCAGCCUUAGGUCUAGCUUCCCUUUACUCAUCUUCCUUUCUUUUGGCUUGGGAAACUCCUAUUCAUCUCUCAGGAUGAAUAGUUCAUCAUCUCUGUGGAACUUUAUCUGACCAUGGCAGGCAAUCAAACCUUAACCUUUUUUCUCUGUAUUCUAUGAUUUAUUUCUGCUAAUGUGUUACUUAGCCCAUUACAUUAUAGCCAUGACUGUAGUAUUUCCCGUCUUUCUCACUAGUUUUGUUUUGAGCUCCCUAUGUUUGUCUUUGUAUUCCUGGUACCUAGUGCAAUCCCGAGCACAGGGAUUCAUUUGUGUGUGUGUGUUAAAAUAAAAUGAAUAUAAUGUAGAUGUGUGUAGCUUUUUGUAAGAGGCAGCAUCCAAUAUCCAAGAGCCCAAAAGAAUUAGUGCGUCAAACAGAUUAUAAACCAUUUAGAACAAAACCAAAUGCACUAAAACAACAAAAAUCAUGCAAAACCAAACAGCUAAUGAUAUCUUCUUUUGCUUUUUGUUUAUUAAUAAAAAUGGGAGUCCCCUGGGGGUUUGGGGCUUUUGAUUUGUUGUCUCUUUAUGAAAGUUUAUUUUACAGAUAGAAAAUUUUCAGCUAAGUAUUUUAUACUCAAGUUGAGUCUAGCACCUGAAAAUUCCAGACAAAUUUUAUUUCACUACAGCAAUGUAUUUAGUACAAAUCUUUAUCAGUUUAGAUGUUCUGGCUGGUACCUUGGAAUUACAUCAUGAUUAUAUAAUUAGAUUAUUUAAAAUUUUUCAUUAUUAGUCUCAAAGAUGUAGCAUUUAUAUAUCAUUUGAAACAUAUUUCUAUAAUAUCUUGUACAGAUAGUAGCUAUUUUACAGUUUUUCAUUUGCUAUCUUACUCUACAUUUCUCUUUUAUUAUAUAGAAAUAUGUUGGUGAGAAAGGAAUUGAUGUAAUUAUUGAAAUGUUAGCUAAUGUAAAUCUUAAUAAAGACUUGAGUCUUCUGUCACAUGGAGGACAAGUGAUAGUAAGUAUUCCUUUUCUUUUUUUUUUUUACCACUUUAAUGUUUUACCACAAUUUAACACUAUUUUACAGUAAUCUUUAACUGUAGAAUUGCUGUUUUUCAUAUUAGGUUGUUGGCAGCAGAGGUACUAUUGAAAUAAACCCACGGGACACCAUGGCAAAGGAGUCGAGUAUAAUUGGAGUUACUGUCUUUUCCUCAACCAAGGAGGAAUUUCAGCAAUAUGCAGCAGCCCUUCAAGCUGGAAUGGAAAUUGGCUGGUUGAAACCUGUAAUAGGUUCUCAAUAUCCAUUGGAGAAGGUGGCCGAGGCUCAUGAAAAUAUCAUUCAUGGCAGUGGGGCUACUGGAAAAAUGAUUCUUCUCUUAUGAUUAAUUCUUUCAUGGAUUUCCUAUGUAAUUAGAGGUACUGUCUUUCCCCCAGUUGUACUUACCCUAUCUUUUCUUUAAUUAACAUUCGAUUCCAUGAGCUUCUUAUGUGAAAAAAUAAGAUUUUUCUUUAGAGAGCAGAGGCAGAAGAGUAAAAUUCAUUGUAUAGCUAGCAAUAUUUUUUUAUGCCAUCUGUCUCAAAUCAAGGAGUCAUCAUAGUAGGAAAUAGCAUGUUAGUCAUCAUUUGGCAUGAGGAUGCAUUCCAGUAAUUGUUAAUUGAUAUUUCAUUAAUUCCAUACCUUUGAUUAAAACAUGCUAGUUCAAAAUAAGACUGCUUAGUUUCCAAGGGUUUUCAAGCCUACUUACCUUUAUAAAGGUUCUCUAGUCUCUGAUUAGCCAUGACUGUAUUGGACUUUGAACAUUUUCUCAACUAAAAACCUCUAUUCUAACCUCUAUUCUAAACUAAUCUUAUUUGGAUGUGUAAGUCUUUUGUAAAGGCAAGAAUAAUGUCCAGGACAAUUAAUUAGUUUUCUCAGUAUUUUCCCAAAUAUUAGAAUAUUUACUUCAUUAUUGGUUGGCUGCCAAUGACCCCAUAUGUUCUGUGAGAAUAGGAGCUUUAUCUUUGAUAUAAUACAUAGUCUCCAAAUAGGUAAUACUUCACAAUUGAUUAGAUUUUCAGAGUAGAUUUAGAGUUAUCUGUUUUUCUGGUGAGGGUCAAAUAUUUUUGUUGAAAUAAUUAAGCUCACAAAUUUGAUAAAUUAAGAAUUAUCUGCAUUUGUCUCAUAACAUAAUAAUGUGUAAUAAAGUCUAUAGAAAAUUAA
RNAcentral lists this small RNA (2909 nucleotides) under Pongo abelii (Sumatran orangutan). RNAcentral's name for it is "processed transcript". Lineage: Eukaryota; Metazoa; Chordata; Mammalia; Primates; Hominidae. The record is from RNAcentral.